AUGGCUAACACAACCUUGUCUUCGGGUACCAUCUACCACUCGCGCGUGCUCAUCAGAUGCUCCUCGUCGGAGAGGGGAGGGCAGCAGCGGAGCAACGCGGCCGUGAGGGUCAACGGGGCCGCGCACCGCGCCACGCUGCAGGUGGGGGCGGCGCUGGAGACGUCCAUCAACGAAACGCUGGCGGAGCUCAGCGCCCCGCUGCUGGCGCCGGCGACGGACGGACGGGAGCGCAGUCGGCAGAACAUCCCGACGGAGAAACAGGCCGAGGAUCCCUUCCGGCAGGCGCAGAUCGUGGAGGGCGGGGUCCGGUACCAGCAGACGGUGGUGGUGCGCUCCUACGAGGUCGGCCCUGACAGAACGGCCACACUCGAGACCAUACUGAAUCUUCUCCAGGAGACAGCAUUGAACCACGUGUGGAUGUCGGGCCUGCUUGGCGACGGCUUCGGCGCGACGCACGGCAUGAUCAAGAGCAACCUCAUCUGGGUCGUGUCCAGGAUGCACGUCCAAGUCGAUCACUACCCAUUAUGGGGUGAUGUGCUGGAGAUUGACACGUGGGUUGGCUCGUCGGGAAAGAACGGGAUGCGGCGUGACUGGCUCAUCCGCGGCCGCGGCUCCGGCAACAUCUACGUCCGGGCAACCAGCACAUGGGUGAUGAUGAACAAGAACACCAGGAGGCUGUCCAAGAUGCCCGAGGAGGUCAGGGGCGAGAUCUCGCCGUGGUUCAUCGACCGCCACGCCAUCCACGAGGAGGCCACCGAGAAGAUCAUCAAGCUCGAUAGCAACGCCAAGCACGUCGACUCUGACUUGAAGCCGAAGCGAAGCGAUCUGGACAUGAACCAGCACGUCAAUAAUGUCAAAUAUGUACGGUGGAUGCUUGAGACUAUCCCCGAUCAGUUCCUGCAGCACCACCAGCUUAGCAGCAUCAUCCUGGAGUACAGGAAGGAGUGUGGGAGCUCCGAUGUGGUGCAGUCGAUUUGCCAGCCAGACGAAUACUCGGUUUCGCCAAGCGAGAACGUUAGCAUGGUGAGGGGACCCUCACUCUUGCCAGAAGUCAUCAAUGGCCACCACAGCUUGGCCGGUGCACUGCAGCAAUGGCCAACAAAGUACACGCACCUUCUGCAACUAAAAGCAGGUGAAGGGUACGAGGAGAUUGUUAGGGGCAGAACCACAUGGAAGAAGAAGUUAUAA
RNAcentral lists this ribosomal RNA (1188 nucleotides) under Triticum aestivum (bread wheat). Its description in RNAcentral is "partial small subunit ribosomal RNA". Lineage: Eukaryota; Viridiplantae; Streptophyta; Magnoliopsida; Poales; Poaceae. The record is from RNAcentral.